RNAcentral lists this ribosomal RNA (520 nucleotides) under uncultured Glomus. RNAcentral's name for it is "SSU rRNA". It matches the Rfam family "Eukaryotic small subunit ribosomal RNA", at positions 569 to 1089 of the family's 1831-position model. Lineage: Eukaryota; Fungi; Glomeromycota; Glomeromycetes; Glomerales; Glomeraceae. The record is from RNAcentral.
AGCAGCCGCGGUAAUUCCAGCUCCAAUAGCGUAUAUUAAAGUUGUUGCAGUUAAAAAGCUCGUAGUUGAAUUUCGGGAUCAAUUAAUUGGUCGUGCCUCUGGUACGUACUGAUUUUAUUGGUUUCUCCCUUCUGACGAACCAUGAUGUCAUUAAUUUGGUGUCGUGAAGAAUCAGGACUGUUACUUUGAAAAAAUUUAGAGUGUUUAAAGCAAGCUAACGCUUGAAUACAUUAGCAUGGAAUAAUGAAAUAGGACGUUUGAUCCUAUUUUGUUGGUUUCUAGGAUCGACGUAAUGAUUAAUAGGGAUAGUUGGGGGCAUUAGUAUUCAAUUGUCAGAGGUGAAAUUCUUGGAUUUAUUGAAGACUAACUACUGCGAAAGCAUUUGCCAAGGAUGUUUUCAUUAAUCAAGAACGAAAGUUAGGGGAUCGAAGACGAUCAGAUACCGUCGUAGUCUUAACCAUAAACUAUGCCGACUAGGGAUCGGAUGAUGUUAAUUUUUUAAUGACUCAUUCGGCGCCUU